UCAAGUAUUAAUUCAAUUCUUAUUGUGCAUGGAAGGGAUUUUUAUUUAUUUCCUUCUAAUUUUCUGUCUUGAAUACUUAUGGAACUAAUUGUCUGUUUUGAUAGUACAGCUACUCUUGAUGGUAUCUGAGUUUGAUUAUUAAAUGGUACGUAAUUAUUGGACAUGGGUUAAAUUUUUGUAACUAGUAUAUGUUCAUCUGUUUUAAGCUGAGUUUUUGAGUUGCAUGUACAUAGGUAUCACCAUGCUUUGUGACACAUGUUUGACUAAUCAAAAAAGAACAAAGAGAAGGAUAAAUGUAAGGUUGGAAAGGUUGACAACUCAAUUGUGUCUUCGUGUCCUAGAAUUUAAGUUAAUAAAUAUGACUGGUAGACUCCUACGGUGCACCAAUUUGUCCAAUAUCUCAAACAUGCCAAUUCAUGUUGUUUAACAUGGAUCUCUCCUUUUUUUCUUUUUCUGGCUUAUUCCUAAACUAUCUAGUAUACUUGUGAAUUUAAUUGUCUGAUUCUUGAUAAUACAACUAAUCUCUCCUGUUGAUUCCUGAAUUUAAUUUUUAAAUGGGAUAUUUGGGAGUAUACCGCAUUAUGUGACGAUGACCACGAGUUUCCUGUGCUAUCUUUUGGGCUUGUAGAUAAGCUGGAUGAAUUAUUUCCUUCAUUUGACUUGUGUGUUGAACCAAAGCUUAAUCUGUUUUCUGUGUCUGAACUGCAUGAAAGCCGAGAGCCAAGACUCAUCUCAUCAGGAUGCAUGCGAUCGGUGCUUGGCCUGCUGGAGCUUACAAAUGAUAUAUCACUAUCCGGCGGCAGGAGCUCUCCAUAUGAUCUGUUUGAAGCUUUUCCUCUGGUAAAUGGAGACCUGCAACAAAGGUUUUCAAGUCGGUGUCUCGUUGUGUGAUUUUGACCAUAUUGUUUACAGCAAAUCAACAGUGAAUUUACCUGUUCAUUUAUACUCGUCGUGUUUUCUGCAUGAUGUUAUAUUAUAAGCAACCAGCAAGCACCAUUUAUUAUUCUCUUUAAGAUUCACAGGCUUUUUUAAAACUCAGUUGGAUGAUUAAAAGUAAAACAAUCUAAGCACUCUCCAAUGAGGCAAAAGCAUUAUGGUAGAGUAAAGCAUAUGUCUAUUUUUCCCUCGUCAUAAAUUGACUCCUCAAGAAGGAGACAUUCAUAAUGAAGUCUAGUAUCGUAGUGCGUCAUGUAAAUUUGCAUUGCUCGUACAACUAUAGUGCUGUGUCAUUCACAUUCAUUACAUGAGACAUGCCUAUAGUUACUAGUGCAAUGAUUAAUAUUUGUAAUAUAAAUUCUCUAAAUAAAGAUAUUACUAAUAAUGAGACAUCUCACACUAUGCGAAGAAACUAAGGAAAGAGGAGCCAAUCAUCAAAAAACAUAAACAGUAGGAUUAGAGAUGUGAUAACGAGGAAAAGGAGACCUUGUAUUAACACGGUGUUUAGAGUAUUUGCUUAGACAUAAAAUUUUACCUUGACUCUGCUACAUGAUCAUCACAAUAUAAGAAAUAUUACAUGUUAUAACCUUCCCUAUAAUUAAUAUAUCUAUAUGUAUUAAAAACUUACUUGAUCUCUACGUCAUCUGUGAAGUGGCGAGGUGCAAAUGGAAUCUUCUCAGAUGCUGAAAUGGGAUGAGAUAAUUUUUUGUGAGUAGUGACAAAAGCUAGAUAGAUAGAGGGAAGUAGCAUGAGGCUAGGAUGGAGUCAGACCUCGUGCAUUGUUGCCUUGCAUGAAUCGUGCAUCCAUAUGAUUCUGAAUGGCACUGCUUUGGGGUUGCAAUUGCAUACGAGGGGCUUGGUUUGGGACUGAAGCAGAGGCAGACCGUAGAGAUGAAAUUUUCCCUUUAGAGAUGAUAUAUAUGGUGCAGAACUCUGGAGCCCCUUUUGUAACACUGCUAGGAACAUCUAGAGCUUUGAAUUUACUGAGACAAGGGAUUUGUAAGUAGUCUGAUCUUUUGUUUAUUUGUGCAGGCAACAAUUCUGAAUUUACUGUGUGUUCAACUUGUCAAGAAGAAAUUACUAUUUUUACAUACAGUGGUUUAAUUACUCUAUAGAUGUGAAUUUUGGUAGGAAAACUAGAUGCCUCCUUUAUUUACAAUAAUCUUUUGAAAAACUUUCAGAAUGGCUGCAUAUCUUUAGUUGGUGUAGGAUUUCAAAACUGCUUGAAAUAGAAAGAAUACUCAAAAUCUGACGUAUUUAUUCCAAAUUGAAUGAAAUACCUUUUACUACAUGUUAAUUUAGAGUUUUUUCAUACGAGUGCAUGUGUGUGUGUGUAUGGGUUUUUGUUAAAAGUAAAAGUCGUAGGUAAAUAAAUGCUUUUAAGCGAGCUGAGCUGCAAAGCUACCCAGAACACACUAGGAGUUGUUUUUAAGUUCCCUUAUUGCAUUAUUUAUUUAUUUGUGUAAUAAGUAGAAAUUGCAUGUAAACAGAAAACAUGUAAAUUACCCAACAAGACCCCUUGAUGGGGAACCAAGCACCAGAUUCUGAAUCAAGUUGGCGUUAACAUAGUCACAAAUGGCUUUUGAAACAUCUGUAUCCUCGACUAUGACUUCACUAACUUUUAUCUGUACGUUCAUGAAGGGGNNNNNNNNNNNNNNNNNNNNNNNNNNNNNNNNNNNNNNNNNNNNNNNNNNNNNNNNNNNNNNNNNNNNNNNNNNNNNNNNNNNNNNNNNNNNNNNNNNNNCAGAUUUUGGCAGGUGGUAAAAUGAAGAAUUGGAGCAAGCAAGAAGAAGGACUUACAUCUUUACGCGUGCAAAAGCAACGGAAGGGAAGGAAAAACUCCUUAUCAGCCUGGCUGUUUGUUGCUGCAACAGAAAAAAAGAACAUUUCAAGGAUGAAUUCCCCUCAAACUUUUGAGAUUAAUGUAGCCUACGACAUAGUAAGUGAUUUUCAUUAUAUAUCAAACACAAAGUAUGCUUCUGUCAAUUUAAUAGUCAAUUUGAGAUAUUUUUAGAUGUGAUUCAUUUAAUUUUUGAAAACGUAGUAAUAGUAGUAGUAGUAGUAGUAGUUUUUGGAUAUUUCACAAAUUUCAUAAUUAUGUUGUCUAAAAACUAAAUGAAUUCAUGUCAAUGUUGAGUUUAAAAAAAAUCUCAAAUUGACUAUAGAAAGUCCAAAUUCAACCUAUAUUUUGGAACAGAAUAGUAAAUAAUAUGGAUUCCAUGCAUCCAUAAAUAAUUGGUCCCAUUUUGGUUUUAGAAACAAGAUUAUUAUUAUUAUUUCCUUCUCCUGUUUGUGGAAUUUGUGUUGUCCUGGGUUUCUGAAUGAUGACAUGCAUGUAGAGAACAACAAUAAACAGGAGUUGUGGUGCAAAUUGACACUAUAUUACCCAUUACAUAUUAAUUCAUUUAUUUUCAUCAAUAAAAAAAAAUUGUUUUGCUUUUAUUUACAUUACAUGAAUCAAUGGGUACUGUGAUUGGGGAAUGAAUAUGCAUAUAUUAUAUAUAUAUAUAUAUAUAUAUACACACACACACACAUUAAAUUAAGUGUGAUAGAUAGAUAUAUAGGUAGAUACCUGGGGUUGGGGCUGGGGCAGAAGAUGGUUUUUGUUUGACAUGGAGGAGGGUGACACUUUUGACCUUCCCAAGAAGAUUAUCAACAGCCCAUUUCAGAGCAUAUUGGCUUCCUUUAUCCUUGUCUAUUGCCACUGUUGCCAUUUCUACAUUAUUAUUAAUCCCUUUUUGGUUAGAAGACAUGUUUUUUUUAAAUUAAAAAUAAUAUAUUUAUAUUCCGCAGGAGGAGCAGCAAUUGAUCUGUCUUUUUCUUUCAAAAAAAGAAAAGAAAGAUAAAAUAAACAAUGCAGCCAGCCGAAUCCUCCCCUUCCUUCCUUCAGUUAAUAUUUUGUUCCUGAUUGUUUGGGUCCUCAAGAAGGGAGGAUCGAGGAGGAGGUCCCAAACUCUCUCUUCUUCUUUUUUUUUUUUUAAAAAUUUAAUUUACAAUGUAUUCUCUCUAAACCUUUGAGAGGCUCUAAAUAAACCACCCCCCUAUAAUAUAGCUUUAAUCUCCUUCAAGUUCGUUGGUUAAAAAUUUAGCUCUCUCCCAAAAUUGAAUUUUUAUUGGUCCUACUCCUACUCCUACCCAAACUCACUAAGUAUAUGAUUCAGGUUACAUUUUGUGUCUCUCAUCUUUUAAUUUCAUCUCUUUUCUCUCUUUUUUUUAUUGCAAAUUAAACAAUAAACAUAUACUAGUACUUGCAUCAUUGAUUAUACUUUUAUUUAUUGAUAGUAAGCCUGUUAUUUUACAUUUAAAAUAAAUAAAAGUUUAUUGAUAUUAUUAAGAGGGGCUUGGAAAUUGGACUUCUGAUUUUUAAUAUUUUCCAACUUUUUUACUCCAGAUUUUCUGAUAUUUCUUCUCCCACUCCUAUUAUAAUAAUAAUAAUAAAAAAAUUGUGUAAUAUAAAAAACGAAACAAAUAUAAAUGUAGUCGUUGAAAUUUGGUGGACCAAAAUACCCUCUAAAGAAGUCUUUAUAUAGCUAAGGAGGGGUGUUUAGAGAGGAGGGUAUUUCAAUAACUAUAUUUAAAAGAAAGAAAAAGCCUAAUUUUUCAAGCCCCAUUCAAGAUGACUGUGUAAGAGCAUUUUCAACGGUAGCAGCAAAAAAAACUCUUUAAAUUAAAGUUUGUUGACCUUGAAGAGUAUUAUUUGUUAUUUUCAUAUUUUGUCUCUUCAAUUUAAUGUGUUGUACAUCAAACUCAUCAAGCAAAAUAAAUAUUUUUAGUUUUCAUAAAUGUCUUGAAGGGAGAGAAUGAAGUUGCAGAUUUGACGAUUAAGGAUGAAGAGUUGUUGGAAAUAAUUUUUCUGACGUGGCUCAUCUAUUUGAGUCCCAAAGUAGUUGAAGAGGCUAUUGGACAGAAAGAAGAGCAUAUUUUUUCAAGUUGGGUGAGGCUGGGCUUUGGAGCUCAAGCCUUUUGUGCACAUUUGAAUUUUUGAACCAAAUGGUGAAAUGCAGUACUAGUUCAUUGGCUCUUGCCUAGUCCUGUGUUCAUGGCUAAAAGAACAUGUCGUAAUUGAUAAAUGAAAGCCGAGCAUACAGUAUGAAGACUGCCGGAACCUGUACGUCAGGAUAGAACCUCAAUUAAAGAAUUAAGCUUAGGGUCCUAAAUUUUGAUACCAUAUUGCAUUUUGAUCGACUAUAUAUAUCAUUCAUGUGUGAAUUAAUACGUGUAUUAAAUUAAUUAACAAACAGAAAUAUGGGACAUGAAUAUUGGACUGGACAGAAGUGUAUUUAACUUUCAUCUAUUUAUGUUUUGACCCCCAAUACACCUCCUGUCCCAUAACUAGUAUCGAAUAUCUAUAAUGUAAAAUAGUAGUAUUAAAUAAAAAAGAGACAAAUGUAUGUUUUUGGAUAUGGCACACAUAUUCUGGUUAUUAUUUAGCAACGAGAAAACUUGGAAGGUU
Molecule: long non-coding RNA, 5389 nt
Filed under: Panax ginseng (ginseng)
Lineage: Eukaryota; Viridiplantae; Streptophyta; Magnoliopsida; Apiales; Araliaceae
Description: long non-coding RNA (PGIN_LNC005071)
Source: RNAcentral